CGCUAGGCUGGGGGGCGGGGGAAGGGGGCGGAGACGACUAGAAGUCGCCGCGGCAACGGCGUCACCCGCGAGUCACGGUCGUGACGUCACCCCGAGUGCGUGACGUCAUUCGAGGAGCGCCCUCGCGCCGUCGUCAGGGUCGUUCGCCUGUUCCGUAACGUGGCCUUUUACUAGAAGAGCAGGAGUGGUGUUCGAGAGAGCCAGCCGAAAUCCUAGAGGGAGGAAGGCGGGGAAGCCCAUACCAUUGUACUUAUUUCCAUUACCGCCAGUGUCUCCGCAUCCGAAAAAUGAGCCUGACGCCCCAAGGCUGAAACAGCCGAGCCGACUUCCAUACAGGCCAUUCUGAACUCCCACAGUAUUUAGACGAGAAACAACAGAGAAAGCAUAAACUUUGGAGUCUAAAGAUCAAGCUCUUAGUGUCAGCCUAUAUAAUCUCAAAGCAGGAGAACAAGUUUUGAGAAUUUUCAGGGGCUCUCUGGAAAAAUCACAAGGUUAGUUUGAGGAGAUGGAAUGAAGAAAAAGACCACCCACUUCAUAGAAGAUAGAGAUGCUGGCAACAGGGAAGACCAGAUCAACAGACUUAAUAGAAGGAUGAAUUAAGAAUUUAUGAAACACGGAUUCUUGUGCUUUAGAGUAUAUAUUCAUGCAUCACCUGGAAGAGCUUUUUGGAAAUGCAGAUUUCUUGGCCACAUCCCAGGCUGCUCACUCAGAGAAGCCCCUGGUGAUGAUUCUGAUGUAGGACAUCAGACUCAGAGUGAAUCACAAUACUGGGUUUCCAAUUAGCAGACAGCAGAUCGCAGAUCGUGGGACUUCUCAACCUCCAUAUUUGUGUUAUUUACCAAGAGUCAGUUUACCUGUUUGCAGACUGGAGGAAGACAGGCAAACAAGUUAUCCUACCAUGAGAUUAUUAUUAUAAUACCUUCAGAAAACAUCCACCUAAGCAAUCUGCAAAAUAUGCUGACUGCUUGCCAUCUUAAAGUGUAAUCAUGGCAGAGAAAUAAUUAUGUCGUUGUCUUUAUUAUCAGUCCUUUGAACACUGUUCUCCUCUAGGGCUCCAGAUGGCUCUGAAAACUGCUAAUGAGUAUGAGGUCAUUUGGCCUCUUGGUUACUGAAUUUUGCCUGGAGACUGAAGCCAUUUGGGAAAAACAAACAGAUAGUAGUCCUAUAAAAAUAAACUCAACAGCUCACAAGAUUCAUUUUAUUACUGAGUAGAAGGCACUUAUGAAUUGUGAUGUUACUUUGUCUUAUCUUCCAUCUCAAAUGUUCUGCCUUAAU
Tupaia belangeri chinensis (Chinese tree shrew) is the source of this 1275-nucleotide long non-coding RNA. RefSeq lists it as uncharacterized. The record is from RefSeq and is a predicted model, not a curated record. The transcript is spliced from 8 exons. NCBI's taxonomy places the organism in Eukaryota, Metazoa, Chordata, Mammalia, Scandentia, Tupaiidae.